RNAcentral lists this ribosomal RNA (542 nucleotides) under uncultured bacterium. RNAcentral describes it as "bacterial SSU rRNA". It matches the Rfam family "Bacterial small subunit ribosomal RNA", at positions 775 to 1321 of the family's 1533-position model. The record is from RNAcentral.
AGUCAAUAGAUACCCGGGUAGUCCACGCUCGUAAACGAUGAGGACUAGGUGUCGGGGGUAUCGACCCCGUCGGUGGCGCAGCUAAACGCGAUAAGUCCUCCGCCUGGGGACUACGGCCGCAAGGCUAAAACUACAAAGGAAUUGACGGGGGCCCGGCACAAGCAGCGGAGCGUGUGGUUUAAUUCGACGCAACGCGAAGAACCUUACCUGGGCUUGACAUGCACGUGGUACGACUCGAAAAACGGGGAGGACCCGCAAGGGAGCGUGCACAGAUGCUGCAUGGCUGUCGUCAGCUCGUGCCGUGAGGUGUUGGGUUAAGUCCCCGCAACGAGCGCAACCCUCGCUGCCAGUUACGAUGUCUGGCGGGACCGCCGGGUCCAACCCGGAGGAAGGUGGGGAUGACGUCAAGUCAGCACGGCUCUUACGUCCAGGGCUACACACACGCUACAAUGGCCGGUACAACGCGCGGCGAUGGGGCGACCCGGAGCGAAUCGCAGCAAAGCCGGUCUCAGUUGGGAUUGCAGGCUGCAACUCGCCUGCAU